AUGGAUUCCAUCUUGGCGAAUGAAACUUGGGAGAUAACUGAUCGUCCUUAUGGGUGCAAACCUAUAGGAUGCAAAUGGGUAUUCAAGAAGAAGCUUAGGCCUGAUGGUACUAUUGAAAAGUACAAGGCUCGGCUCGUGGCUAAGGGUUAUACCCAAAAGGAAGGUGAAGACUUCUUUGAUACUUACUCACCUGUGGCUCGACUGACCACUAUUCGAGUUCUACUUUCACUAGCUGCCUCACAUGGUCUUCUCGUUCAUCAAAUGGAUGUUAAGACUGCUUUCCUAAAUGGAGAGUUGGACGAGGAAAUUUAUAUGGAACAACCAGAUGGGUUUGUAAUAGAUGGUCAGGAAGGGAAAGUGUGCAAGUUGCUGAAGUCUUUGUAUGGACUCAAGCAAGCACCCAAACAGUGGCAUGAGAAGUUCGAAAGAACUUUAACAGCUGCAGGUUUUGUUGUGAACGAAGCUGACAAAUGUGUGUACUAUCGCCAUGGUGGGGGCGAGGGAGUUAUGCUUUGCUUGUAUGUUGAUGACAUACUGAUUUUUGGAACAAAUCUGAAUGUUAUUAAGGAGGUCAAGGAUUUUCUAUCUCGCUGUUUUGAGAUGAAGGAUUUAGGAGUGGCUGAUGUCAUUCUGAACAUCAAGUUGUUGAGAGUUGAUGAUGGUGGGAUUACAUUGCUUCAAUCUCACUAUGUGGAAAAGAUCUUGAGUCGCUUUGGCUAUAGUGACUGCAAGCCCUCUCCAACACCAUAUGAUGCUAGCGUGCUACUUCGAAAGAAUCGAAGAAUUGCUAGAGAUCAAUUGAAGUAUUCUCAGAUUAUUGGCUCGCUUAUGUACUUAGCGAGUGCUACAAGACCUGACAUCUCUUUUGCAGUUAGCAAACUGAGUCGGUUUGUUUCAAAACCAGGAGAUGUGCAUUGGAAAGCUCUAGAGAGAGUUCUGCGUUAUUUGAAAGGCACUGCAAAUUAUGGAAUUCACUACACUGGGCAUCCAAAGGUGCUUGAAGGGUAUAGUGACUCAAACUGGAUCUUAGAUGCUGAUGAGAUAAAGGCCACGAGCGGUUAUGUAUUCACUCAUGGAGGUGGCGCUGUUUCUUGGAAACACGUUCAGAGAAGGUUAAAGUCUGUCAGGAAAAUGAAAAACUCCGGAGUUAUUGCAUUGGAUUAUAUCCAAACGUCUAAAAAUCUGGCAGAUCCUUUUACUAAGGGUCUAUCACGUAAUGUGAUAGAUAAUGCAUCGAGGGAGAUGGGUAUGAGACCCACAAUAUGA
Molecule: ribosomal RNA, 1266 nt
Filed under: Triticum aestivum (bread wheat)
Lineage: Eukaryota; Viridiplantae; Streptophyta; Magnoliopsida; Poales; Poaceae
Description: partial small subunit ribosomal RNA
Source: RNAcentral